Molecule: non-coding RNA, 224 nt
Filed under: Sharpea azabuensis
Lineage: Bacteria; Bacillati; Bacillota; Erysipelotrichia; Erysipelotrichales; Coprobacillaceae
Description: T-box sequence
Rfam family: T-box leader
About the family: Uncharged tRNA acts as the effector for transcription antitermination of genes in the T-box leader family. T-boxes are found upstream of many aminoacyl-tRNA synthetase genes and some amino acid biosynthetic genes usually in Gram-positive bacteria. The anticodon of a specific tRNA base pairs to a specifier sequence within the T-box motif, and the NCCA acceptor tail of the tRNA base pairs to a conserved bulge in the T-box antiterminator hairpin.
Source: RNAcentral
GUAAAUUCUUUGAAGGGAAUAAGUUAUUUGUGUAAGACAGGAUAGAGAGCUAGCGGUUGGUGGAAGCUAGUUUGCAGCACAAAUAAUAUCAUCUCCGAGAAGCAGGCUGAAAGAAGUAAGCUGUGCCGGUUUUCUACCGUUAACAAGAAAGUGUAUGAUAGUACACGCUGAGUGCUAGGAUAACUAGAAUAAGGAUGGUACCGCGAUUGUAAGUCGUUCCUUGA